This 405-nucleotide ribosomal RNA is filed under the name uncultured bacterium. RNAcentral's name for it is "partial 16S ribosomal RNA". It matches the Rfam family "Bacterial small subunit ribosomal RNA", at positions 28 to 526 of the family's 1533-position model. The record is from RNAcentral.
GAUGAACGCUGGCGGCAUGCCUAAUACAUGCAAGUCGAGCGAAGCGGGGACGGGUGAGUAACGCGUGGGUAACCGCCUAUAAGGCUGGGAUAACUUCGGAAAACCUGAGCAAAACCGGAUACUUCGAAUUUGAUACUCGCUGCAUUAGCUAGUUGGUACGGAAACGGCUUACCAAGGCUACGAUGCAUAGCCGACCUGAGAGGGUGAUCGGCCACACUGGAACUGAGACACGGUCCAGACUCCUACGGGAGGCAGCAGUAGGGAAUCUUCCGCAAUGGGCGAAAGCCUGACGGAGCCACGCCGCGUGAGUGAAGAAGGUCUUCGGAUCGGAAAACUCUGUUAUUAGGGAAGCGGUAACUAACCAGAGAGCCACGGCUAACUACGUGCCAGCAGCCGCGGUAAUUC